UUACGUAGGCCAUUAUGAUCGCGCGCAAAGUUAGGACGAAUGACAACAUUUUCAAUCGAUAUUCAUUGAUUUUUCUUUAAAUAAAUCCCCUUUUACAUGUCAUGGACAUAAGGCUGUCAGUGUCUGUAUGGAAGAGAAGAUCUGAGUUUUAAUGGAGAGCUUGCGUUGUGACACCUGUGGCACUGCUCAGGCAUGCCAAACUUCUGUGACAGAGUGUGACCGCGUUCACCAAUGAGGAUUUUUAUUCCGUCUGCUUCCUGCUGCUUUGAUUGGCUCAUUUUCAUGCCAGCUGCAUUCUGGGAGGAGUUGGUCAGUACACCUGCAGUUCAUCUCCAGGCCACUUGAUGGCACUGUGAGCUCACUGAAGUCACACCGCGAGGCUGGAACAGCACAAGUGCUUUUUUAAAAUAUGAAAGGUGUCACAUAAACCACUACUUGGCAUGUAGUUUUUCAUUUGAGAUAUAUAUUUUUAAUUUCACUUGUUUUUGCUUUGCAAGUUUUGCAAGUACAAAGACUUUACAUUGUGUGAACUGACCCGUGAGAAUGGGAAAAGGUAGGAAAGGACUUUCUCAUGUUGGAGACAGUGCGAUUGCAUAUAUUCUGAGAAACAAACCAGAGAGAGGAACAAAGAAACACCCAAAAAGAGGCUAAAAAAGUUCAUAAUGCAUCAGUGGUACGGGUGGCUGCCAUUUGGUUGCUAUGUGGUUGCUAGGGCGUUUUGGGUGGUUACCUAUAGGCCCAAAUCACAAGAGCCCAAUGUUUUUAUACCAAACUGCUCAGUAGAUAUGAUUGUAAAUCUAUGGGAUUUUUUAGGGAUGCAUGAUAUGUUGAUACUAUAUCGCUCAUUAUGCAAUUAUUCAAUCCAGUAAUUGACAGUGCUUUAAAUCAUAUUACAUUUGUAAAUAGUAAA
Long non-coding RNA from Carassius carassius (crucian carp), 910 nucleotides. RefSeq lists it as uncharacterized. Lineage: Eukaryota; Metazoa; Chordata; Actinopteri; Cypriniformes; Cyprinidae. The transcript is spliced from 3 exons. The record is from RefSeq and is a predicted model, not a curated record.